RNAcentral lists this ribosomal RNA (1482 nucleotides) under Lactiplantibacillus pentosus. RNAcentral's name for it is "bacterial SSU rRNA". It matches the Rfam family "Bacterial small subunit ribosomal RNA". Lineage: Bacteria; Bacillati; Bacillota; Bacilli; Lactobacillales; Lactobacillaceae. The record is from RNAcentral.
AGGACUCAGACGAACGCUGGCGGCGUGCCUAAUACAUGCAAGUCGAACGAACUCUGGUAUUGAUUGGUGCUUGCAUCAUGAUUUACAUUUGAGUGAGUGGCGAACUGGUGAGUAACACGUGGGAAACCUGCCCAGAAGCGGGGGAUAACACCUGGAAACAGAUGCUAAUACCGCAUAACAACUUGGACCGCAUGGUCCGAGUUUGAAAGAUGGCUUCGGCUAUCACUUUUGGAUGGUCCCGCGGCGUAUUAGCUAGAUGGUGGGGUAACGGCUCACCAUGGCAAUGAUACGUAGCCGACCUGAGAGGGUAAUCGGCCACAUUGGGACUGAGACACGGCCCAAACUCCUACGGGAGGCAGCAGUAGGGAAUCUUCCACAAUGGACGAAAGUCUGAUGGAGCAACGCCGCGUGAGUGAAGAAGGGUUUCGGCUCGUAAAACUCUGUUGUUAAAGAAGAACAUAUCUGAGAGUAACUGUUCAGGUAUUGACGGUAUUUAACCAGAAAGCCACGGCUAACUACGUGCCAGCAGCCGCGGUAAUACGUAGGUGGCAAGCGUUGUCCGGAUUUAUUGGGCGUAAAGCGAGCGCAGGCGGUUUUUUAAGUCUGAUGUGAAAGCCUUCGGCUCAACCGAAGAAGUGCAUCGGAAACUGGGAAACUUGAGUGCAGAAGAGGACAGUGGAACUCCAUGUGUAGCGGUGAAAUGCGUAGAUAUAUGGAAGAACACCAGUGGCGAAGGCGGCUGUCUGGUCUGUAACUGACGCUGAGGCUCGAAAGUAUGGGUAGCAAACAGGAUUAGAUACCCUGGUAGUCCAUACCGUAAACGAUGAAUGCUAAGUGUUGGAGGGUUUCCGCCCUUCAGUGCUGCAGCUAACGCAUUAAGCAUUCCGCCUGGGGAGUACGGCCGCAAGGCUGAAACUCAAAGGAAUUGACGGGGGCCCGCACAAGCGGUGGAGCAUGUGGUUUAAUUCGAAGCUACGCGAAGAACCUUACCAGGUCUUGACAUACUAUGCAAAUCUAAGAGAUUAGACGUUCCCUUCGGGGACAUGGAUACAGGUGGUGCAUGGUUGUCGUCAGCUCGUGUCGUGAGAUGUUGGGUUAAGUCCCGCAACGAGCGCAACCCUUAUUAUCAGUUGCCAGCAUUAAGUUGGGCACUCUGGUGAGACUGCCGGUGACAAACCGGAGGAAGGUGGGGAUGACGUCAAAUCAUCAUGCCCCUUAUGACCUGGGCUACACACGUGCUACAAUGGAUGGUACAACGAGUUGCGAACUCGCGAGAGUAAGCUAAUCUCUUAAAGCCAUUCUCAGUUCGGAUUGUAGGCUGCAACUCGCCUACAUGAAGUCGGAAUCGCUAGUAAUCGCGGAUCAGCAUGCCGCGGUGAAUACGUUCCCGGGCCUUGUACACACCGCCCGUCACACCAUGAGAGUUUGUAACACCCAAAGUCGGUGGGGUAACCUUUUAGGAACCAGCCGCCUAAGGUCGUA